UAGUAACUGCGAGUGAAGCGGGAAAAGCUCAAAUUUAAAAUCUGGCGGUCUCUGGCCGUCCGAGUUGUAAUCUAGAGAAGUGUUAUCCGCGCUGGACCGUGUACAAGUCUCCUGGAAUGGAGCGUCAUAGAGGGUGAGAAUCCCGUCUUUGACACGGACUGCCAGGGCUUUGUGAUGCGCUCUCAAAGAGUCGAGUUGUUUGGGAAUGCAGCUCAAAAUGGGUGGUAAAUUCCAUCUAAAGCUAAAUAUUGGCGAGAGACCGAUAGCGAACAAGUACCGUGAGGGAAAGAUGAAAAGAACUUUGGAAAGAGAGUUAAACAGUACGUGAAAUUGCUGAAAGGGAAACGCUUGAAGUCAGUCGCGUUGGCCGGGGAUCAACCUUGCUUUUGCUGGGCGUACUUUCCGGUUGACGGGUCAGCAUCAAUUUUGACCGUUGGAUAAAGUCCAGGGGAAUGUGGCAUCUUCGGAUGUGUUAUAGCCCUUGGUCGCAUACAACGGUUGGGAUUGAGGAACUCAGCACGCCGCAAGGCCGGGUACUUGUACCACGUUCGUGCUUAGGAUGCUGGCAUAAUGGCUUUAAUCGACCCGUCUUGAAACACGGACCAAGGAGUCUAACAUGCCUGCGAGUGUUUGGGUGGAAAACUCGGACGCGUAAUGAAAGUGAAAGUUGAGAUCCCUGUCGUGGGGAGCAUCGACGCCCGGACCAGACCUUUUGUGACGGAUCCGCGGUAGAGCAUGUAUGUUGGGACCCGAAAGAUGGUGAACUAUGCCUGAAUAGGGUGAAGCCAGAGGAAACUCUGGUGGAGGCUCGUAGCGAUUCUGACGUGCAAAUCGAUCGUCAAAUUUGGGUAUAGGGGCGAAAGACUAAU
Molecule: ribosomal RNA, 869 nt
Filed under: Hebeloma alpinum
Lineage: Eukaryota; Fungi; Basidiomycota; Agaricomycetes; Agaricales; Hymenogastraceae
Also listed under: 2 other names
Description: LSU rRNA
Rfam family: Eukaryotic large subunit ribosomal RNA
Source: RNAcentral